RNAcentral lists this ribosomal RNA (446 nucleotides) under uncultured bacterium. RNAcentral describes it as "partial 16S ribosomal RNA". It matches the Rfam family "Bacterial small subunit ribosomal RNA", at positions 338 to 795 of the family's 1533-position model. The record is from RNAcentral.
CCUACGGGUGGCAGCAGUCGAGAAUCAUUCACAAUGGGGGAAACCCUGAUGGUGCGACGCCGCGUGGGGGAAUGAAGGUCUUCGGAUUGUAAACCCCUGUCAUGUGGGAGCAAAUUAAAAAGAUCGUACCACAAGAGGAAGAGACGGCUAACUCUGUGCCAGCAGCCGCGGUAAUACAGAGGUCUCAAGCGUUGUUCGGAAUCACUGGGCGUAAAGCGUGCGUAGGCUGUUUCGUAAGUCGUGUGUGAAAGGCGCGGGCUCAACCCGCGGACGGCACAUGAUACUGCGAGACUAGAGUAAGGGAGGGGGAACCGGAAUUCUCGGUGUAGCAGUGAAAUGCGUAGAUAUCGAGAGGAACACUCGUGGCGAAGGCGGGUUCCUGGACAUUAACUGACGCUGAGGCACGAAGGCCAGGGGAGCGAAAGGGAUUAGAUACCCUAGUAGUC